This 225-nucleotide unclassified non-coding RNA is filed under the name Hevea brasiliensis (rubber tree). Lineage: Eukaryota; Viridiplantae; Streptophyta; Magnoliopsida; Malpighiales; Euphorbiaceae. The record is from RNAcentral.
AUCAAAACUUACCAUUACUGCGGAAACAUCUUUAAAAAAAGAAAAAGACAGAAAAAAAAUUGCUUAAUUGGUUGGGGUGAAGACUUUGAGUACACCAAUCGCCCAACUAUGCCAUGCCUUUUUUCAAGUUAUCUCAAUCGGAAGAAAUCAUUUUAUUGACGAUGCGGGGAAAAAGCUGUCAAAACUUCUCUGUAAACAGGCUUCUUGAAGUCCACUGCAUGGUCA